Molecule: long non-coding RNA, 1123 nt
Filed under: Phoenix dactylifera (date palm)
Lineage: Eukaryota; Viridiplantae; Streptophyta; Magnoliopsida; Arecales; Arecaceae
Description: long non-coding RNA (PDAC_LNC015629)
Source: RNAcentral
AUGAGUUUGACAGAAUGCUUCUUCCGCGCGAGAGAGGAGACAUUGUUGAAUACCAAAACUACGUUAACUAAGAUCUGUUAAAAAGUGUAAAUCAAGGGGGUCUUAGGGAGGCGGACAAUAUCGUGCAGCAACGUCACUGUUCAGGAUAUAUAUUUCAGUUUCAUAGCACUGGCAUGGAUUUGACGGCGAAUACAAGCUUUAAGCAUCAUAAACUGGUCGUCCAUGAAAGUUCUAAAAUAUAUAUCAAAACGUUGGAUUGCAUGAACAUAUCUCUGACUUAUAGGGCAAGUAAAUAUACGCAAAUGCUGUUUUUGAGGUGAAAACAAUUUUCUGUUUGGUUGUUGACAACAGAUUUUUAUCAGGCAGUAGCAAGCUUGUCAGCUAAAUAGAUUUAUCGAAAUACUAAUAUCUAAUGCUAUAGUUUCUAGGGUGGAUUCAGAUGACCAUAUUAUUUCCAAGUUUGAAUUUCAUAUAUGCCUGAUAUUCAUUAGCAAAGGACAUACAAUAGAAGAUGGAAGCAAAAUACCAGCAGGACAAAGUGACAUUGUAUCUUUCCACAACAAAACUGGAAAUUUAAUUAUUUCAGACAGAAUAUUUACCAAUUCUGAAGGUAACUGGAACAUUGUUGGCCUUCUAAUAGCAAGUAACAAUGACAUAUCAAAUAUGGCUAGUGAGAAGGCAAAGAUCUUGGUGACAGAGGAACAAAUUUAUCUUUUCUCUCAAGAUCUAGUUUAAACUGCUGAAUUUUCAGCUUGACAAGGGUUUAAAUUAAUUGUAAGAGUUUUAGACGCUCCUUUUGUUAGGCCUGGUUAUAUGGUUAAUUAGGGGAUUAGAUGUUUUAGGACAGCCUGUGGAAUCUAAUGUUAGUCUGGAUUAAGUUUUAUUUGCCAUGUAAGAAAUAUGGGGUUUCAGUGAGGUAAACAGGGAAUAUAAAGCAAAACCUCAAUUUACUUUAGUGUGAGAAGAGGAAUGGGCACCUACUUGGGCUGGCCAAGAGAGAGAAAUCUAAUAGGUCAUUCCCUCUUAUUCCAUUCCCUUCCCUAUUUGUUUCUAUCCUCUUUCUAUUAAAAAUAGAUCAGGAAAGAGUCAUAUUGCUAGAAAUCUACAUCUAGAAAGUUCAAAU